RNAcentral lists this long non-coding RNA (2039 nucleotides) under Nicotiana tabacum (common tobacco). RNAcentral's name for it is "long non-coding RNA (NTAB_LNC014329)". The record is from RNAcentral. Lineage: Eukaryota; Viridiplantae; Streptophyta; Magnoliopsida; Solanales; Solanaceae.
AAUUUUACACAAACCGGCUAUCAAAGAUGACGACGGUGGUCAGCUGAGCUGAGAUUGGUAAAAAGGUACAGCUAGCAAUGAAUAAGAGCCUCACCUACUCAGCAUCUUCCUUUUCUCUUCUUCCCUUUUUUAGCUUUCUUCAUUUUCAUUUCUACGUAUAAGUUUCUUACUCAUAAACCCUUUCCGCUUCUCUUAAUUCUUUUCUCUUCAGGUACACUUCUUUCAUUCACACUACCUAUAGCCUAUAGUUUUAGUCUUGUUUUUCCUUUUUCGUUUGUUCUAUUUGAAUCCCCUGUUUAGAAUUGCUGGUUCUGUUUAUCAUUCCUCAGAAAUGUUCUGUUUUUUUUGUAAAAUUGAGUAUCCCUCUUAUCCUUUCCUAAAAUUUUACCGCUUCUUUUAAAACUCUGUUUAUUUGAAGUUUAUGAGUUUAAGAUUGUAAGUCUUUUUAAGUUAUUGAAUUUUAAAUUAAUAAUUUGAACGAAUUUUCCCCCACAAAUAUAUGGUUUAAAUUAAAGUUAAUAUUGCAGUAUUAUUCGAAGUGGCAAAAUCAGGAAUUUUGCGGAGUGUGUUCAACCACAUAGGCCCGUAAUUUGUUGAACACAUUUUGCCCGAAAAUUAUACUAUGUUGUAUAGAAAAUUAUACAUUACUUUUUAUAUAUAUAUACACGGUGACAUAUAUUAUAACAUAAUAUAAAAAUCGAUUUUGAGAAAAAUAUAGCUUUUAUAGUGAAUGAAUGUUAUAUGAUGAGUAUGUUGUUACAGAGUAAUUUUGAACAUCCUUGAACAAUUUUUGUCAAAUUUUUUGGCUUUGUCGCUAUUUAUAUACACUAUAUAAUUUUUUGACAAAUGGUGUUCAAUUGCUAUCUUUGUACUUUUCUGUAGUUUGAUACUUAUAUUUGAGGCCCCUGUUUAGUUGCUGGUACUGUUUUUCUUUCCUCUUGUGCUUUCAGAGUUUUUCUUAGGUAUUUUUCUGCUUAUCUUUAAAAUUGAGCGAAGCUAAAACAAUGUUAUGUAUUUCUGUUACCCUUUCCUAAAACUUCACUAUUUUUUUUUUUUACUUGUUUUGCUUGAAAUGAGCCAAACUUUGACUUCUAUGCAUAAAGUUUCAAUUUUUACUCUGCUAUUUGCAUUAUUUUGAUGUGUUCCUAACAUUUUUUUCUUGAUAUAUUUCAGGGGAAUGUUCAUUAGUGGAGUGAAUUUUUAAGAAGUUUUGAUUACUCAGAACUUUUCUGCAUUUUAAGGGCUCUGUGACUUCCUGCAUUUCUUGAGAGGUAUGGUUUUGAAUUUGUAUUUGCAGUUUUGAAUUUUCUUCGAUUUAUUUAAGUAUUAUCAGUUCAUCCUCAUUUUCAUUAGUGUGCUUGUUCAUUCUCACACCAGCUUAUUUGUUUUAUUUUCUAAUUUUCCUUUUUUGGCCAACUGUAAAUUAAUUUGCCAAAUGUAAGUGACAAGAAUCCAAAAAGAAUUUUCAACCUUUUUCUGCUAAAAUGGGCCACGCUCCCCUUUGUGCUGGCUAGCAUCAUUGUGACAACAUUGCUCCAGCUUGAAGCUAUGUUGGGGCUGAUGGUGGCCCCUAUCCUUCACCGUAUGCUUACGCCAAAAAAUACUCGGUCCGUCUCAUUUUAUGUGAAGGUGUUUGAUGGUGCAAUGUUUAAGAAAAAAACAUUUUUGGAACUUAUGUCUUAAAAUUCCGGUGAGUAUAAAUUCAUGUCAUUAAGGAUAAUCGCUGCAUGCUUGCGCUAGUAAAUUCUCGGUCUGUUUUAUGUGAAGGUGUUUGAUGGUGUGAUGUUAAAGAAAAAAAGUAUUUUUGGAAAUUGUGGUCUUAAAUAUGCCAUAAUAUUACUGUUCUAUAAAAUUAUGUCAUUAAGGAUAAAAUGAGAAGUUUAACUUAAAAUGUUUCUGAAUAUCAAAAAGGUCAAUUUUUGGAACAUACCGAAAAAGGAGUGUCACAUAAAAUGUAGCCAGGGGCGGCCCAACCAUAAAGCAACUGAAACACUUGCUUUAGGCCCCAAAAAUUUAAGGGCCCCAAAAUUACUAGUAUU